This 763-nucleotide ribosomal RNA is filed under the name uncultured Streptococcus sp. Its description in RNAcentral is "bacterial SSU rRNA". It matches the Rfam family "Bacterial small subunit ribosomal RNA", at positions 28 to 776 of the family's 1533-position model. The record is from RNAcentral. Lineage: Bacteria; Bacillati; Bacillota; Bacilli; Lactobacillales; Streptococcaceae.
GACGAACGCUGGCGGCGUGCUAAUACAUGCAAGUAGAACGCUGAAGGAGGAGCUUGCUUCUCUGGAUGAGUUGCGAACGGGUGAGUAACGCGUAGGUAACCUGCCUGGUAGCGGGGGAUAACUAUUGGAAACGAUAGCUAAUACCGCAUAAGAGUAGAUGUUGCAUGACAUUUGCUUAAAAGGUGCAAUUGCAUCACUACCAGAUGGACCUGCGUUGUAUUAGCUAGUUGGUGGGGUAACGGCUCACCAAGGCGACGAUACAUAGCCGACCUGAGAGGGUGAUCGGCCACACUGGGACUGAGACACGGCCCAGACUCCUACGGGAGGCAGCAGUAGGGAAUCUUCGGCAAUGGACGGAAGUCUGACCGAGCAACGCCGCGUGAGUGAAGAAGGUUUUCGGAUCGUAAAGCUCUGUUGUAAGAGAAGAACGAGUGUGAGAGUGGAAAGUUCACACUGUGACGGUAUCUUACCAGAAAGGGACGGCUAACUACGUGCCAGCAGCCGCGGUAAUACGUAGGUGGCAAGCGUUAUCCGGAUUUAUUGGGCGUAAAGAGAGUGCAGGCGGUUUUCUAAGUCUGAUGUGAAAGCCUUCGGCUUAACCGGAGAAGUGCAUCGGAAACUGGAUAACUUGAGUGCAGAAGAGGGUAGUGGAACUCCAUGUGUAGCGGUGGAAUGCGUAGAUAUAUGGAAGAACACCAGUGGCGAAGGCGGCUACCUGGUCUGCAACUGACGCUGAGACUCGAAAGCAUGGGUAGCGAACAGG